GGCGGCGUAUUGCUGAGUCCCAUGGCGGCCUAUGCGGUAUUGGCGUUGCUGCUCACCGGCGUAUUGCGCAUGGGGCUGCAGCGCGUGGGAUUGGCGCAAUGGAUCUGGCACGAAGCCCUGUUCGAUUGUGCCC
This 133-nucleotide small RNA is filed under the name Phytopseudomonas flavescens. Its description in RNAcentral is "Pseudomonas flavescens Pseudomonas sRNA P18". Lineage: Bacteria; Pseudomonadati; Pseudomonadota; Gammaproteobacteria; Pseudomonadales; Pseudomonadaceae. The record is from RNAcentral.